RNAcentral lists this long non-coding RNA (292 nucleotides) under Elaeis guineensis (African oil palm). RNAcentral's name for it is "long non-coding RNA (EGUI_LNC052357)". Lineage: Eukaryota; Viridiplantae; Streptophyta; Magnoliopsida; Arecales; Arecaceae. The record is from RNAcentral.
ACUCUAACUAACCCUUGGAUCCAAUCUUAAUCAAUUUAGAAAUUAGUUAUAACAAACUAAUUAAUUAGACCCUAGCCCAAUUAUGAAACCAAUUAGGUCCCAAUCUAAUUGGAGAAUUAGUUAGAUUAAAACUCCAUUGAUCUAGGGAUUGAUUCUUGAUGGAUAUCAGGAAAGCUAUUUGAUAAUAGGGCUUGAUCCAAUCAAGCCUAUUAUCCAACAAAAUUUGAUCCAAUCAAAACCUAUAUAAAACUACUUGAAUCCCAUUCAACUUAAAAUUUGAUUUGCAUCCCUA